AAGAAAGGAAGGAAAGAAGAGGACUAGGAGAAGACCCAGAGGAAGCACCUGGAGCAGAGAGACACAGGAAGAAGGAGUCAUCCUUGCUUGGAUCUGUAUCAGGGGAUCAGGAGACAUGGAAGAAGACCCUUGAAAGAGACAGAGACAUGGGAUAGGGUCAAAGUUUGUGAAUAUGAAGUCAAAGAAAUUUGAAGAAAGGUGAUUCAGGAUUGGAAUGAUGGAUUGAUGAAGUCGACAGAGCCUGACUCCUUCCAGAUCACAACUCUUCUUUCCAGAGAUCUCAAAGAAGGAAUCUGCAUUAUUACAGAUGUCCUUUAACCAUGAUUCCCAGUUGUGGGAGACUCUGAAUUCAAUGUGGAAGAAAAGAAUGACAGGAGAACUACAUAAUGAAUAUAAGGAGCCACA
Long non-coding RNA from Talpa occidentalis (Iberian mole), 405 nucleotides. RefSeq lists it as uncharacterized. The transcript has 3 exons. Lineage: Eukaryota; Metazoa; Chordata; Mammalia; Eulipotyphla; Talpidae. The record is from RefSeq and is a predicted model, not a curated record.